Molecule: ribosomal RNA, 780 nt
Filed under: uncultured bacterium
Lineage: Bacteria
Description: bacterial SSU rRNA
Rfam family: Bacterial small subunit ribosomal RNA
Source: RNAcentral
GACGAACGCUGGCGGCGUGCCUAAUACAUGCAAGUCGAGCGGACCGACGGGAGCUUGCUCCCUUAGGUCAGCGGCGGACGGGUGAGUAACACGUGGGUAACCUGCCUGUAAGACUGGGAUAACUCCGGGAAACCGGGGCUAAUACCGGAUGCUUGAUUGAACCGCAUGGUUCAAUCAUAAAAGGUGGCUUUUAGCUACCACUUACAGAUGGACCCGCGGCGCAUUAGCUAGUUGGUGAGGUAACGGCUCACCAAGGCGACGAUGCGUAGCCGACCUGAGAGGGUGAUCGGCCACACUGGGACUGAGACACGGCCCAGACUCCUACGGGAGGCAGCAGUAGGGAAUCUUCCGCAAUGGACGAAAGUCUGACGGAGCAACGCCGCGUGAGUGAUGAAGGUUUUCGGAUCGUAAAACUCUGUUGUUAGGGAAGAACAAGUACCGUUCGAAUAGGGCGGUACCUUGACGGUACCUAACCAGAAAGCCACGGCUAACUACGUGCCAGCAGCCGCGGUAAUACGUAGGUGGCAAGCGUUGUCCGGAAUUAUUGGGCGUAAAGCGCGCGCAGGCGGUUUCUUAAGUCUGAUGUGAAAGCCCCCGGCUCAACCGUGGAGGGUCAUUGGAAACUGGGAGGCUUGAGUGCAGAAGAGAAGAGCGGAAUUCCACGUGUAGCGGUGAAAUGCGUAGAGAUGUGGAGGAACACCAGUGGCGAAGGCGGCUCUUUGGUCUGUAACUGACGCUGAGGCGCGAAAGCGUGGGGAGCGAACAGGAUUAGAUACCCUG